GAGCCGAAGGCAGUCGCUUAACCAACUGAGCCACCCAGGCGCCCCGUCCUUUACCUUUCUGAGUUAAAAGAUUUUGAGGUAUUUCAAACUGUGACUCUUCUAGAAAUAAUAUCCAAAAUUCUAAAUAAAAAGAGUAACAGAAUAAUUAAUGUACUUCAUCGCAGAACAAAACCAGUGCAACUCCAAACAAGAAAAUUGAUGUACCACGUCUGACAAAUCUAAAGGUCAUGUGUCAACUUCAAGAAGCUCUGUACCAUGUGUCCUGUCCUAGUUACCUACUAAGAACUAAUUGUGUUUGCAAUCAUGUAAGAUGUUUCAACGUUUAUUGUUAUGUGAGUUUUAUAUUCAUUAAACUUAAAUUGUUUCUGACUGAAAAUAUUCUUCCAUUACGGUAACUUUUUAAGAAUUUUUCAACUUCAAAUACCACUUGGUAAGCAAACUCCAUACAAGGAACACUGAAAUAAAGGGGAAUAAGAUUACAAUACUCAAUAUAUGAAACAAUGAUGUAUGAGUCUUUUCUUUGAUAAUUUUCAUCUAAAUUCAGCUAUUAUUAUAAUUAUUAUAACACAUGUCUGCUGUUUUUAUCGUGGGGUUUAUAAUGACAAACUGGUUCUGAAUAUGUACAUAUGUGAUAAUCCUACUUUACAGUAUAUGUGGAGAGAAAUUCAGAAUUGCUAUUCCAUUUUACCUUCUUAUUUUCAAUGCCUUGAACGUAAUUCAGUGUAAUUACAGAAUCGUAACUUGUGUUGUCGUCUUAGAGUGAUUAAACGUGCAUUUAAAACUCUCCCUGAACAGGAAGUCUAAAGUGGAAUAAAUGAGGAAAUCUUGCCUUUUAAAAAUAUUUAUGUAACUCCAAACAAAAGGAGUGGACCUCUCCUCUAUCUCUUUCGUUAAAUGAACAAUGUGCCCGGGAAAGCCUCACGUCUGAGCACCGAAAGAGCACCCUCUCUCCGCGGUGUUCAGAAGGCAACAGGAAAUGAAAACCAAUGAGAAGUAAGCACGAACUUCUGGCAGGAAGAUUCUGUAUCCGGAUUCAAAACGGCAUGAGGGGCAAAGAUUGAAAGAAGAUAGUCACAGAGAACAUUUUUAGCUGAGCACAAUGCAUUAUUUUACAUUUCGACCAAGCUACACGGAAAGGACUAAACAUUACAAAUAAUACAUUUUGCUUAAAAGAGAUUCACUUUUUAAAAAAAUCGAACAGAUGUACUCCUGAAGGUUGGAUUGACAUUUGCUUUUUGUAGCUAUCAUCAUUUCCAACAUAGAGAAAUUGGCUAAUUAGAAGAAUCUCUCCAUAAAUACAGCAUUUGUAAGUUUAUUUUCUUCAGCCUAUUAGAGGAGAGCACCUAUGGGUAUCAUUGUGAUGUUUUAUAUUAAAUCUAUCCCUCAAUCUA
Molecule: non-coding RNA, 1391 nt
Organism: Leptonychotes weddellii (Weddell seal)
Lineage: Eukaryota; Metazoa; Chordata; Mammalia; Carnivora; Phocidae
Source: RefSeq, a predicted model, not a curated record